UAUAAAUGCUUAAAAUGCUCUUGGAUAUUAGCACUAUAUACUAAUAUGUCAUCAAAAAAUACAAUUAUAAAUUUUCUCAAUACCUUCUCAAAUGUGAGUCCCAUGUAAUUCCUCCAUGAUCAGAGCCCGAAGUGACGACAAUGGCCACACACAAAAUUGGUUGUUGAAGAAGAUCAAUCUAUCCUUCUCCUUAAACCAUGUUUUGUCUGAGUGAUUAUUAAUCUGUUGUUGAAUGUUCUGCAGCCAGGGGUCUGACUCGUUUUCCUUCCGAAGCUGUCAGUGCACGCAGUUGGGUGUUGAUUUUCCCUUCCGAAGGCAUUCUAAAUAGUGCAUCAACGGCUCCAUUUCCUGCCUUCUUGUAUAUGAUGUUGUAUUUGUACCCCAAUAGUUUGGUUAAAAAAAUUUGUUGCUCCGGUGUCUGAAUGGUUUAUCCGAGUAUGUUUUUGAGGCUUCGAUGAUCCGUACGGAUAGUGAACUCAUUGCCCCAUAAAUAAUGUCACCAUUUUUACACUGUGUCCGUAAUCACCCAUAACGUACUCCUUGGCAUAAGUAGAUGCUUUCUGCCGUAAAGGAAAUAACUUCUUGCUAUAAUAUGCGAUAGGAUGUUCUUUUUGUUACAAGAUUGCUCCCACUCUGACCUCAUAGGCGUCUAUUUCAAUGAUAAAAGGCAAUGAAAAAUCGGGAUAAAUUAAUACUAGGGUGGAAAUUAAUUUUUCCUUGAGAGGUUGUUCAAUGCGGCCAGCGUAUUUUCGUUCCAACGGAAGUUAUCUUUCUUCUACAUGUAGGUUAACGAAGCUGCCAACUAUGCGUAUUGCUCAAUGAAACGUCUAUACUACCCAGAUAGUCCCAAGAAUGCUCGCACCUGCCGAACUUAUUUGGGUUGGGGCCAGGCCUUGACCACUUUAAUUUUAUCUAGAUCGGGUUGAAUCCCUGCUGCUGAAAUAAUGUGACCCAAAUAUGUCAAGCUUGAUACCCCAAACGAGCACCCUUGGAUUCCCUGAUGUAAAAUAAUUUUUGUUGUAAUAAAUCCAGUACUGAUGUCAAAUGUUGUAAAUGCUCCUCCCUUGAAGUGCUAUAAACUAAUACAUCGUUGAAAAAUACGAUUAGUUAUUGUAACUACAUACUACAG
This 1129-nucleotide long non-coding RNA is filed under the name Zostera marina. Its description in RNAcentral is "long non-coding RNA (ZMAR_LNC001370)". Lineage: Eukaryota; Viridiplantae; Streptophyta; Magnoliopsida; Alismatales; Zosteraceae. The record is from RNAcentral.